CACCCGCAAUUCCCCCAAGGACCUCCCCUGACCCCCGCUUUCCCUCAGGAGCUGCGUUCCCAUGGGGGAGCCCCCCUGGACCCUUUUGAGGUGUUCACGUUCCACACCUGCAGCACCAUCGCACGCCUCCUCUUCGGGGACCUGGUGCCCCCGCCAGGGGAACUCCGGGCCUUCUCCUGCUGUCUGGGGGAGCUGCUGCAGGUUUGGGGGCGCAGCACUGUGCGGGCUCUUGAUCUGCUGCCCCCGCUGCGGGCCCUACCCAACCCGGGGCUGCGGGAGCUGCUGCGGCUUGUCCAGCACCGUGACGCCUUUGUGGAGGCCCAGAUCCGG
This 330-nucleotide long non-coding RNA is filed under the name Lepidothrix coronata (blue-crowned manakin). Its description in RNAcentral is "lncRNA (ENSLCOG00000008637.1)". Lineage: Eukaryota; Metazoa; Chordata; Aves; Passeriformes; Pipridae. The record is from RNAcentral.